RNAcentral lists this long non-coding RNA (1000 nucleotides) under Ananas comosus (pineapple). RNAcentral's name for it is "long non-coding RNA (ACOM_LNC019207)". The record is from RNAcentral. Lineage: Eukaryota; Viridiplantae; Streptophyta; Magnoliopsida; Poales; Bromeliaceae.
AAUCCUAUAACUCUCCUAAUCCUAAAGAAUAUUUUCUCUAUAAGGACCUGUUUGAAUGCAUAGUUAAAAAACUCAAUGAAAUUUUUUUGCUAUGAUUUUGGUCUAAAUGAAAUACGGAAUUCUGUAACUACAAAAAAAUUCUACAGCUUCGUUUUUAAGCUGUUUGGAUACAGAUCAUAUAAUUCCACAGUAUUUAUAACAAUUAAAUUUCUAAAAUUUUAAAGACUAAAUUACAGAAAACCCCCUUGUAAUAACCUGCUUUUUCACUUUUCCUCCCUGACAUUUAAAAACCUACACUUUGCCCCCCUGUAAAAUAAAAAAUGUGCACUUCACCCCCUACCGUUAGGGUUUCGUUAGGAUUCCGUUAAAAAAUAUAUUUUUAUGCCGAAAAUACCCCUCUGCCAUCUCCCUGUUGCUUCGCCUCUCUCCGGCUCGCCACCUCGCCGCGGCCUUGCCGCCUAGCCGCCUCGCCGUCCUCCAGUGCCUCGCCCUCACCCACAUCCCCUUCGCCGUCCUCCGCCGCCUCACCUUCGCUUUCUUUACCCUUCUCCUACUGUCGCCCACCUCGGUUUCUCCUACUGUCGUCGAAAUCGAGGGCGGCGAGGGUGCAGGAGGAGAAGGGAAGCAGGUGGAGAAGGAAAUGGAGAGAAAUCGCGGCCGAUUGAGGUGGGAAUCGCAGCCGGAAGAUGGGGCGGCUGAGGAAGAUGGGGAAGAAGACGACAAUGGCGAGGGGCAAAAUGGUCAUUUUACACACCGUAACCCCCCUGUGAACAUUUUUCAUUUUACAGGGGGGCAAAGUGUAGGUUUUUGAAUGUCAGGGGAGAAACGUGAAAAAAGCGAGUUAUUACAAGGGGGUUUUCUGUAAUUUAGCUAAUUUUUAAAUUCAAAAUUUAAAAUUCAAAAUUCAAAAUUCAAAAUUCAAAAUUCAAAAUUUAAAAACCUGUUGCAUUGGGCCUAACCAGUCGAACUAUUCUACAUAUUUUUUUUUUUAACCGAAUUU